UACGGGGGGGGCAAGCGUUGUUCGGAAUUACUGGGCGUAAAGGGCUCGUAGGCGGCCAACUAAGUCAUACGUGAAAUCCCUCGGCUUAACCGGGGAACUGCGUCUGAUACUGGAUGGCUUGAGUUCGGGAGAGGGAUGCGGAAUUCCAGGUGUAGCGGUGAAAUGCGUAGAUAUCUGGAGGAACACCGGUGGCGAAGGCGGCAUCCUGGACCGAUACUGACGCUGAGGAGCGAAAGCCAGGUGAGCAAACGGG
RNAcentral lists this ribosomal RNA (253 nucleotides) under uncultured bacterium. RNAcentral describes it as "partial 16S ribosomal RNA". It matches the Rfam family "Bacterial small subunit ribosomal RNA", at positions 524 to 776 of the family's 1533-position model. The record is from RNAcentral.